GGGGGGACCACCCUCCAAGGCAAAACACAGAUAUCGACCGAUAGCGCAUAGUACCAUGAGGGAAAGGUGAAAAGCACCCCGGGAGGGGAAUGAAACAGAACCUGAAACCGUAUGUUUACAAGCAGUCGGAGACCGUAUAUAUAUCAGGUCGACGGCGUGCCUAUUGAAGAAUGAACCGGCGAGUUAUGAGGUCCAGCGAGGUUAAGCAGGAAAUGCGGAGCCGAAGCGAAAGCGAGUCUUAACAGGGCGAGUAGUUGGACUGCAUAGACCCGAAACCACAGUGAUCUACCCAUGUCCAGGUUGAAGCACAGGUAAAAAUGUGUGGAGGACCGAACCUAUAUCCGUUGAAAAGGGUUAGGAUGAGGUGUGGGUAGGGGUGAAAUGCCAAUCGAACGUGGAGAUAGCUGGUUCUCCCCGAAAUAGCUUUAGGGCUAGCCUCAGGGUAAAGAUUGCAGGCGGUAGAGCACUGAUCAGGAGAGGGACCUACCCGGUUACCAAACCCAGUCAAACUACGAAUGGCUGCAAUUAUACCUGGGAGUCAGACUACGACUUAUAAGGGCCGUGGUCAAAAGGGAAACAGCCCAGAUCAUCAGCUAAGGUCCCAAAUGCCGUGCUAAGUGGCGAAGGAUGUGGCGUUUCAUAAACAACCAGGAUGUUGGCUCAGAAGCAGCCACCAUUUAAAGAGUGCGUAAUAGCUCACUGGUCGAGAGACGCUGCGCCGAAAAUGUCCGGGGCUCAAGCACGGAACCGAAGCUAUGGCAUUGCGUAAGCAAUGGGUAGGGGAGCGUUCUUAUGGGGAAGAAGCAUUACCGUAAGGAGAUGUGGACACAUAAGAAGUGAGAAUGCCGGUAUGAGUAUCGAAAAGAAAGGUGAGAAUCCUUUCCACCGAAAGCCCGAGGGUUCCUGAGCAACGAUCGUCGUCUCAGGGUAAGUCGGGACCUAAGCCGAGGCACAGACGCAUAGGCGAUGGACAACAGGUUGAAAUUCCUGUACCGGAUGGAGUCAUUUGAGCAAUGGAGUGACGCAGGAGGGCACAUGAUCGCGCGACUGGAAGAGCGCGUCCAAGUGCGUAUGUUGAAUCGGAGGCAAAUCCCCGAUUCUGAAAGCAGAGACAUGAUGGGGAGUUAUAAGCGAUUAUGACGAACUCAUGGAUCCCACACUGCCAAGAAAAACUUCUAGCGAGACGAAAUCCGCCCGUACCGUAAACCGACACAGGUAGGCGGGGAGAGAAUCCUAAGGUGCGCGGGAAAACCCUCGUUAAGGAACUCGGCAAAUUGCCCCCGUAACUUCGGGAGAAGGAUGGCCCUGAGUAGGCGAAGUGCAGAAACGCACGGAACAGAAAAGGGUGGCAGAAAAGAGGCCCAAGCAACUGUUUACCAAAAACACAGGUGCCUGCGAAAGCGAAAGCUGAAGUAUAGGUGCUGACGCCUGCCCGGUGCUGGAAGGUUAAGGAGAGAGGUUAGCGCAAGCGAAGCUUUGAACUGAAGCCCCAGUGAACGGCGGCCGUAACUAUAACGGUCCUAAGGUAGCGAAAUUCCUUGUCGGGUAAGUUCCGACCCGCACGAAAGGUGUAACGACUUGGGCACUGUCUCAACGAGGGACCCGGUGAAAUUGAAGUACCUGUGAAGAUGCAGGUUACCCGCGACUGGACAGAAAGACCCCAUGGAGCUUUACUGCAGCUUGAGAUUGAAUCCCGGUGGCAGACGCACAGGAUAGGUGGGAGGCUUUGAGAUAGUGACUUUGGUUGCUAUGGAGCCGACGUUGGGAUACCACCCUUCUGUUGCUGGGAUUCUAACGCGAAGAUUAACAACCUUGCGGACCAUCUCAGGUAGGCGGUUUGACUGGGGCGGUCGCCUCCGAAAGAGUAACGGAGGCGCCCAAAGGUUCCCUCAGCGCGGCCGGAAAUCGCGCGAAGAGUGUAAAGGCAGAAGGGAGCUUGACUGCGAGUCAAACACGACGAGCAGGUACGAAAGUAGGGCUUAGUGAUCCGGUGGUUCCGAGUGGAA
Molecule: ribosomal RNA, 2006 nt
Filed under: wastewater metagenome
Description: bacterial LSU rRNA
Rfam family: Bacterial large subunit ribosomal RNA
Source: RNAcentral